RNAcentral lists this transfer RNA (69 nucleotides) under Hypselosoma matsumurae. RNAcentral's name for it is "tRNA-Trp". Lineage: Eukaryota; Metazoa; Arthropoda; Insecta; Hemiptera; Schizopteridae. The record is from RNAcentral.
AAAGAUUUAAGUUAAAAAAACUAUUAACCUUCAAAGUUAAAAUUAUGAUAUUUAUUUCCAUAAGCUUUG